CCCGCACAAGCGAGGAGCAUGUGGUUUAAUUCGAUGAUACGCGAGGAACCUUACCUGGGCUCGAACGUAAGAUGACUGUAGGUGAAAGCUUACAUCUCUUCGGAGCAUUUUACGAGGUGCUGCAUGGUUGUCGUCAGCUCGUGCCGUGAGGUGUCGGGUUAAGUCCCGCAACGAGCGCAACCCCUGCAUUCAGUUGCCAUCGGGUAAUGCCGGGCACUCUGGAAGGACUGCCAUCGACAAAAUGGAGGAAGGUGGGGAUGACGUCAAGUCAUCAUGGCCCUUAUGUCCAGGGCGACACACGUGCUACAAUGGCCGGCACAACGGGAAGCGAGUUCGCGAGGACGAGCGGAUCCCUCAAAGCCGGUCGCAGUUCGGAUUGAAGUCUGCAACUCGACUUCAUGAAGCUGGAAUCGCUAGUAAUCGUGGAUCAGCCAAGCCGCGGUGAAUACGUUCCCGGGCCUU
Molecule: ribosomal RNA, 462 nt
Filed under: uncultured Sphingobacteriales bacterium
Lineage: Bacteria; Pseudomonadati; Bacteroidota; Sphingobacteriia; Sphingobacteriales
Description: bacterial SSU rRNA
Rfam family: Bacterial small subunit ribosomal RNA
Source: RNAcentral